AUGUCGCAGCUCUCGUUGCCAAGGACCCCAAGUUCCUCUGCGCCGGCGUCGAGAGAACCCUGGCCCCCGUCAUCGUCGGGCUCACCGGCCUCGGCUUAUCGCGUUCCGAUAUCGCGUUCCGAUAUCGCACGCCUCGCCUCGCUCUCCCGUUACAGCUUCCGCUAUAGAUCCAUCGUCUCCAAGCUGCAGUACUACAUGCCUCUUUUUGGGUCCUUUGAGAAUCUCCUCCGAGCCCUCAAGAGGAACUUCUACCUUCACUCGGCUGACCUCGAUGAUGUGGUCAAGCCCAACGUCGCGUUGCUGCGGGAGUGCGGGCUAGGUGCCUGUGAUAUUGCCAAGCUAUGCAUCAGUCAACCAUGGCUUCUCGCCGCCAACCCCGAGCGUGUCCAGGCGAUGGUGGAAUGCGCUGAAAACAUAGGUGUGCCCCGUGCCUUUAGGAUGUUCAGGCAUGCGCUGCACGCUGUUGCAUUUCUCAGCGAGGACAAGAUCGCAGCCAGGGUGAAGUACUUGAAGAACACCUUCAGGUGGACGGAUGCUGAGGUAGGCAUGGCUGUUUCUAAGUAUCCAACGGUGCUGAAUAGGACUAAGGAGUUUCUGCAGAGAAGGUCAGAGUUCCUGAUCUCUGAUUUGGGGUUGGAACCGGCAUACAUUGCUCAUCACCCGCUAAUGCUCGCGUACAGCCUGGAGGGGAGGCUAAGGCCCCGAUACUACGUUGUAACUUUUCUUAAGGAAAAUGGAUUGCUAGAUCAUGGUCGAGAUUACUAUUAUGCAGUUAAGAUGACUGAGAAGGUAUUCAUGGAGAAGUUCAUAUGCCCUCACAAGGACGCUGCACCAUACCUUGCUGAAGAUUAUGUAGCGGCUUGCAGAGGGAAAUUGCCGGCUAGAUUCAGAUUUACAUGA
Molecule: ribosomal RNA, 900 nt
Filed under: Triticum aestivum (bread wheat)
Lineage: Eukaryota; Viridiplantae; Streptophyta; Magnoliopsida; Poales; Poaceae
Description: partial small subunit ribosomal RNA
Source: RNAcentral